Molecule: long non-coding RNA, 281 nt
Organism: Alligator mississippiensis (American alligator)
Lineage: Eukaryota; Metazoa; Chordata; Crocodylia; Alligatoridae
Exons: 3
Source: RefSeq, a predicted model, not a curated record
CUUAAGAGUCCAGAGCAGGUGCUUGCACCCACCCCGGAGGGAGCCUAAUCCAGGCCUUGGGGGGGGCGGCGGCCUCGGGUCAACGAACAGAUUCAUUCAUUCAGAAGGCUUCAUGUCAGAGGGUUCAACUUCAUGACGACUGUACAAGACUGCUGUUUUUAUCUUAGGAGGUCCCUGGGAAGGCGCUAUAAGAAAUGGGAAAAAUCUACGUGGCUUGCUUGUCAAGCGGGAUGCUGCGGUACCAAGAUCAAACUGCCUCUGUUAAUGUGCCUUUAUAAAAU